This 422-nucleotide ribosomal RNA is filed under the name uncultured bacterium. Its description in RNAcentral is "bacterial SSU rRNA". It matches the Rfam family "Bacterial small subunit ribosomal RNA", at positions 355 to 774 of the family's 1533-position model. The record is from RNAcentral.
UGAGGAAUAUUGGGCAAUGCCCGCAAGGGUGACCCAGCAACGCCGCGUGGAGGAUGAAUGUCGUAAGAUUGUAAACUCCUGUUAGAGGGGAAGAAUAGUACCGGUUGGACCGGUAUACGACUGUACCCUCAGAGAAAGCCCCGGCUAACUACGUGCCAGCAGCCGCGGUAAUACGGAGGGUGCAAGCGUUAUCCGGAUUUACUGGGUUUAAAGGGUGCGUAGGCGGGCAUGUAAGUCAGUGGUGAAAUACCGGAGCUUAACUUCGGAACUGCCAUUGAUACUAUAUGUCUUGAAUAUUGUGGAGGUAAGCGGAAUAUGUCAUGUAGCGGUGAAAUGCAUAGAUAUGACAUAGAACACCGAUUGCGGAGGCAGCUUGCUACGCAAAUAUUGACGCUGAGGCACGAAAGCGUGGGGAUCAAACA